GAUGAACGCUGGCGGCGUGCUUAACACAUGCAAGUCGAACGGAAAGGCCCUGCUUUUGUGGGGUGCUCGAGUGGCGAACGGGUGAGUAACACGUGAGUAACCUGCCCUUGACUUUGGGAUAACUUCAGGAAACUGGGGCUAAUACCGGAUAGGAGCUCCUGCUGCAUGGUGGGGGUUGGAAAGUUUCGGCGGUUGGGGAUGGACUCGCGGCUUAUCAGCUUGUUGGUGGGGUAGUGGCUUACCAAGGCUUUGACGGGUAGCCGGCCUGAGAGGGUGACCGGCCACAUUGGAACUGAGAUACGGCCCAGACUCCUACGGGAGGCAGCAGUGGGGAAUAUUGCACAAUGGGCGGAAGCCUGAUGCAGCAACGCCGCGUGCGGGAUGACGGCCUUCGGGUUGUAAACCGCUUUCGCCUGUGACGAAGCGUGAGUGACGGUAAUGGGUAAAGAAGCACCGGCUAACUACGUG
RNAcentral lists this ribosomal RNA (468 nucleotides) under uncultured bacterium. RNAcentral describes it as "partial 16S ribosomal RNA". It matches the Rfam family "Bacterial small subunit ribosomal RNA", at positions 28 to 507 of the family's 1533-position model. The record is from RNAcentral.